This 1012-nucleotide unclassified non-coding RNA is filed under the name Hevea brasiliensis (rubber tree). Lineage: Eukaryota; Viridiplantae; Streptophyta; Magnoliopsida; Malpighiales; Euphorbiaceae. The record is from RNAcentral.
ACAUUGUAUAGCCGUGGUAGCUGUGAAUUUGAAAAAACUUUAAAAAGUAGAACUGAAAAUUUAAUUGCAAACCCAAAAAAAAAACACACACACACAAAGUGUCUCUUUUCAUUUAAAGUUUUGACCCUCAACAAAACAUUCAAAAUGCAGUUAUCCUACCUUGAAUUCUUUAGUAUGCCCAAUUAACGCACUGUUACAAAACUAUAGAUAUAAACUUAUACUCUAAUUUUGAAUUAUUUGUAUGGUGUAAUUAUGCUUCUGGAAAUUUGCAACCAAACAAUACGGACAAAUACCCAAAAGUAAACAUCUGUAUAUGCCCAGUCAAAGAAAAAGGAAAAGAAAAAAGGAAUAGGCGAAUAGCAUAAUGAUGUGUGAUUUAGAUAUUUAAUGCAAACUAAUUUAGGGAGAUAUAAAUAUUCAAGUGACUUGACCAAGUAAAAUUGAUUUUGGAAAACCAAACUUUGGCCAUGCUUACAGAAAAUGAAAGACGUUGACAUAAGUGUUACAUAUGUUUUAGUCUUCUAGACAAAAGCACAACAUGUUACAUUACAUCAGAACUUUAAGACAGCCACUUAUUUCAAAAGAAGAGGAAACAACUGAAUCUAAGAAUUUCUAUGUAGAGAUCUCGAGCUUUUAUUGUACUUGGGAGCACAAUUAGAACAUAAGAUUCACGUAAAUGAAAAGGUAAUGUCUUUCCUCUCUUAAAGUGUAUUUUAUGCAAAUAAUGCUUGAACACGUGGGUGUGAGGGCCAUGGCCAAUUUUUUUUUUUAAUUUUUUUUAUAUAUAUGAAAAAGCUGGAUUCUUCAAAAUAAGAAAUUAAGAAUUCUAAAUUACAACAUAAGUUAGUGAAGUAUGCAUGCAUGCUCACACAAUCAAACUUACUUAUAUUGUGAAAGUACUGAGAUUGCACUAAUACGCAAGGCAUUCAAGCAUACAUCUAGUCCCACACAGAAAAAUGUAAAAAAGAUAAUUUAUAAAAGAAAAUACCAGCUUCUGCAGUCAAUGGCCAAA